UACGUAGGGGGCAAGCGUUGUCCGGAAUUAUUGGGCGUAAAGAGCGUGUAGGCGGCCAGACAGGUCCGUUGUGAAAACUGGAGGCUUAACCUUCAGACGUCGAUGGAAACCGUCGGGCUAGAGUCCGGAAGAGGAGAGUGGAAUUCCUGGUGUAGCGGUGAAAUGCGCAGAUAUCAGGAAGAACACCCGUGGCUAAGGCGGCUCUCUAGUACGGUACUGACGCUGAGACGCGAAAGCGUGGGGAGCGAACAGG
Molecule: ribosomal RNA, 253 nt
Filed under: uncultured bacterium
Lineage: Bacteria
Description: partial 16S ribosomal RNA
Rfam family: Bacterial small subunit ribosomal RNA
Source: RNAcentral